Non-coding RNA from Caenorhabditis elegans, 139 nucleotides. The record is from Ensembl. NCBI's taxonomy places the organism in Eukaryota, Metazoa, Nematoda, Chromadorea, Rhabditida, Rhabditidae.
AUUUUACUAGCCGGUCUAGCCGGUUGGAAAAAGAAAUUUGAGAUUUUUGCAACGUAGAGAGGGAGAGAGUGAAUGAUGCCAUGGGCGGAAGUACGACUCCGUCAAGCGUAUUCAGUUUCCACAGAAAAUGAUAUUUACC